RNAcentral lists this ribosomal RNA (675 nucleotides) under uncultured Acidobacteriota bacterium. Its description in RNAcentral is "bacterial SSU rRNA". It matches the Rfam family "Bacterial small subunit ribosomal RNA", at positions 167 to 873 of the family's 1533-position model. Lineage: Bacteria; Pseudomonadati; Acidobacteriota. The record is from RNAcentral.
UACCGCAUAACACCUACGGGUCAAAGGAGCAAUUCGCUUAAGGAGGGGGUCGCGGUCGAUUAGUUAGUUGGCGGGGUAAAGGCCCACCAAGACAGUGAUCGAUAUCCGGCCUGAGAGGGCGCACGGACACAUUGGAACUGAAACACGGUCCAAACUCCUACGGGAGGCAGCAGUGGGGAAUUUUGCGCAAUGGGGGAAACCCUGACGCAGCAACGCCGCGUGGAGGAUGAAGUCCUUCGGGACGUAAACUCCUUUCGAUCGGGACGAUAAUGACGGUACCGGAAGAAGAAGCCCCGGCUAACUUCGUGCCAGCAGCCGCGGUAAUACGAGGGGGGCGAGCGUUGUUCGGAAUUAUUGGGCGUAAAGGGUGCGUAGGCGGUUUGGUAAGUUUCGUGUGAAAACUACGGGCUCAACUCGUAGCCUGCACGAAAAACUGCCGGGCUUGAGUAUGGGAGAGGUGAGUGGAAUUCCUGGUGUAGCGGUGAAAUGCGUAGAUAUCAGGAGGAACACCUGUGGCGAAAGCGGCUCACUGGACCAUAACUGACGCUGAGGUACGAAAGCUAGGGGAGCAAACAGGAUUAGAUACCCUGGUAGUCCUAGCCCUAAACGAUGACUGCUUGGUGUGGGAGGUACCCAAUCCUUCCGUGCCGUAGCUAACGCGUUAAGCAGUCCGCC